AACGAACGCUGGCGGCAUGCCUAACACAUGCAAGUCGAACGAGACCUUCGGGUCUAGUGGCGCACGGGUGCGUAACGCGUGGGAACCUGCCCUUAGGUUCGGAAUAACUCCCCGAAAGGGGUGCUAAUACCGGAUAAUGUCUUCGGACCAAAGAUUUAUCGCCUUUGGAUGGGCCCGCGUUGGAUUAGCUAGUUGGUAGGGUAAAAGCCUACCAAGGCGACGAUCCAUAGCUGGUCUGAGAGGAUGAUCAGCCACACUGGGACUGAGACACGGCCCAGACUCCUACGGGAGGCAGCAGUGGGGAAUAUUGGACAGUGGGCGAAAGCCUGAUCCAGCAAUGCCGCGUGAGUGAUGAAGGCCUUAGGGUUGUAAAGCUCUUUUAACCGGGAUGAUAAUGACGGUACCGGGAGAAUAAGCGCCGGCUAACUCCGUG
This 433-nucleotide ribosomal RNA is filed under the name uncultured bacterium. RNAcentral describes it as "partial 16S ribosomal RNA". It matches the Rfam family "Bacterial small subunit ribosomal RNA", at positions 29 to 507 of the family's 1533-position model. The record is from RNAcentral.